Long non-coding RNA from Cucumis melo (muskmelon), 662 nucleotides. RefSeq lists it as uncharacterized. The transcript has 4 exons. The record is from RefSeq and is a predicted model, not a curated record. NCBI's taxonomy places the organism in Eukaryota, Viridiplantae, Streptophyta, Magnoliopsida, Cucurbitales, Cucurbitaceae.
UUGAACGAAUAGAAACACCACGAAAUUGAAGCACGAACAUUUGUCGCCUCUCUAAACUUCGGCCGAAAAGUCACCUGGGCCGGAAGGAUUAGGAAGGUGUUUGCGGCUCAAUUGAUCUUUUUGAAUGAAAUUGCCACUGCUCGACUAAACUAGUGUCGGAAGGGUUAGGAAGGACGUUGCUCGUUAUUUUUGCCACUCAAAAGUUUUUGUCACUGAUCAAUUUUGCCAUUCACCUCGAGAAAAAAAAAUUACCACCGUCGGUCGAUCGAGCUAUUCUUUGAAAACAUGCCCAUAUGGGUAAAGAUGGAGAAUUCAUCAAUUAAGAGUUGUAGGAUGGAAAGAUGUCGAUAAAGCAUAUAGUGUUCCAGAUGAUAUUUUAACUAAAAGCUUUGGGGACACCUGAACAUCGAGACAUGUGAGAGGGGAGACCAUGUAGUCUUGUUGUUGGACAAGUAGACAACACUGUUGCAAUAGGAACUAUUUUUGAAAGAAUAAGUACGGAUGAACUAGUUUAUAGAGUAAGACUUGAAGUAGGUGAUAUAUGGGUUUUCGUUGAACUUGCAUGUGAUAGUCAUUCUCUUUUGCCCAUACCUAUUAUUGGAAUCAUCUAUUCUGUACACGACGCAAUUGGUUCACACGUUCCAUGGCCAAAACAUCUUACA